CUACGUGCCAGCAGCCGCGGUAAUACGGAAGGUCCGGGCGUUAUCCGGAUUUAUUGGGUUUAAAGGGAGCGUAGGCCGGAGAUUAAGUGUGUUGUGAAAUGUAGACGCUCAACGUCUGACUUGCAGCGCAUACUGGUUUCCUUGAGUACGCACAACGUUGGCGGAAUUCGUCGUGUAGCGGUGAAAUGCUUAGAUAUGACGAAGAACUCCGAUUGCGAAGGCAGCUGACGGGAGCGCAACUGACGCUUAAGCUCGAAGGUGCGGGUAUCGAACAGGAUUAGAUACCCUGGUAGUCCGCACAGUAAACGAUGGAUGCCCGUUGUUAGUUCACUUUAGAAUUAGCGACCAAGCGAAAGCAUUAAGCAUCCCACCUGGGGAGUACGCCGGCAACGGUGAAACUCAAAGGAAUUGACGGGGGCCCGCACAAGCGGAGGAACAUGUGGUUUAAUUCGAUGAUACGCGAGGAACCUUACCCGGGCUUGAA
This 484-nucleotide ribosomal RNA is filed under the name uncultured bacterium. Its description in RNAcentral is "bacterial SSU rRNA". It matches the Rfam family "Bacterial small subunit ribosomal RNA", at positions 501 to 985 of the family's 1533-position model. The record is from RNAcentral.